AAAAAAAAAAAAAAAAUCAGAGUGCAGAAAAUUCCAGUUUUGUAUUGAAGGUAACUUCGUGUUUGGAUGUCGAGAAAAUUUCUGGCAUUUCCAAGAGAAAAUUUGCUGGUCUUAUUUUUCAGAUCUCUUUGCAUUUUUUCCCUUUUUUUUAUUGAUUUAGUUCCAAUUAGAACUGUUUAAUUUGCUUUCUUUGUUUGUUACUAUUAAUGGAUUAUGAAAUUAAAUUGGAAAUGCGGUAAUUGUUAUCACGAUUCACGAUCUGAUUUUCAGGUCAGAAUUGAUUCUAAAUGAAUGGAGCAUCAUCAUGAUGCUGUAUUCUUUUAGAACUCAAUAAAGUCACAGAGUUUGUAUUAUAUAAUAAUCUCAAUAAUCCAAGAAUUAACUUUUCUGAUCUUACUAUUGCUUUGUUUAGUUUUAUAAUAAUUAAGCACUGUGAAGGCUUAUCCCAAAUUACCAUCUAAACCAGCCUAAACAAAAUGAAUCUGCGUAUUCACAUUGCCUUUUUGGUUAUGUAUUUGGGAUUGGAUAUACGAGUGCAUUGAAUCGCAAAUAAAUUGUUAGUGUGAUUUUGCAAAUAUGGCAUUGAAUGCAUUGUAAACUAGGCUGUAGCCUUUGAAUCAUUGGAUUUUUGUUUCAAAAUUGUGCGUCAAAUUGUUUUGAUGUUAGGUAUUAAUGAUUAGACGAGACGUAGCUAUAUGUGUUUUUGUAUAAAGUUGGUAUUUGUUUGGCAGGCAUAAGGAAAUGGCAGAAGGUGAGGAUAUUCAACCUCUCGUAUGCGACAAUGGUACUGGAAUGGUCAAGGUAUAUCCAGAGUCCUUUACCAACCCAUUUCUGAUGUCAAAAGGUUUAUUCUAAAAUUUAAGGAUUUUGGUUCUUAAAGUCAUUCUGAAUUCCUGAUUUUGAUUGC
This 907-nucleotide unclassified non-coding RNA is filed under the name Hevea brasiliensis (rubber tree). The record is from RNAcentral. Lineage: Eukaryota; Viridiplantae; Streptophyta; Magnoliopsida; Malpighiales; Euphorbiaceae.